RNAcentral lists this ribosomal RNA (437 nucleotides) under uncultured bacterium. RNAcentral's name for it is "bacterial SSU rRNA". It matches the Rfam family "Bacterial small subunit ribosomal RNA", at positions 28 to 465 of the family's 1533-position model. The record is from RNAcentral.
GAUGAACGCUAGCGGCAGGCCUAACACAUGCAAGUCGAGGGAGAAGCCUUUCGGGGCAGAAACCGGCGCACGGGUGCGUAACGCGUAUGCAACCUACCUUUCACAGGGGGAUAGCCCGAAGAAAUUUGGAUUAAUACCCCAUAAUAUUGUUGGAUGGCAUCAUCUGAUAAUUAAAACUGAGGUGGUGAAAGAUGGGCAUGCGUCCUAUUAGCUAGUUGGAGUGGUAACGGCACCCCAAGGCUACGAUAGGUAGGGGUCCUGAGAGGGAGAUCCCCCACACUGGUACUGAGACAGGGACCAGACUCCUACGGGAGGCAGCAGUGAGGAAUAUUGGUCAAUGGUCGGAAGACUGAACCAGCCAUGCCGCGUGCAGGAAGAAUGCCUUAUGGGUUGUAAACUGCUUUUAUAUGGGAAGAAUAAGGUGUACGUGUACAUGA